Molecule: ribosomal RNA, 336 nt
Filed under: uncultured Pseudomonadota bacterium
Lineage: Bacteria; Pseudomonadati; Pseudomonadota
Description: bacterial SSU rRNA
Rfam family: Bacterial small subunit ribosomal RNA
Source: RNAcentral
AACGAACGCUGGCGGCGUGCCUAACACAUGCAAGUCGAACGGGAUGAGGGGGCUUGCUCCUUCAUUUAGUGGCGCACGGGUGAGUAACGCGUAGAUAAUCUGCCUGAUGAUCCGGGAUAACACUUCGAAAGAGGUGCUAAUACCGGAUAAGCCCACGGUAUCUUUGGAUUCUGCGGGAAAAGGGGGGCCGUUCGGCCGUCUGUCAUCAGAUGAGUCUGCGUACCAUUAGCUAGUUGGUAGGGUAAUGGCCUACCAAGGCUACGAUGGUUAGCUGGUUUGAGAGAAUGAUCAGCCACACUGGAACUGAGACACGGUCCAGACUCCUACGGGUGGCUG